GUGGGGAAUUUUGGACAAUGGGCGCAAGCCUGAUCCAGCAAUGCCGCGUGCAGGAAGAAGGCCUUCGGGUUGUAAACUGCUUUUGUACGGAACGAAACGGUCCUGGCUAAUACCCGGGGCUAAUGACGGUACCGUAAGAAUAAGCACCGGCUAACUACGUGCCAGCAGCCGCGGUAAUACGUAGGGUGCGAGCGUUAAUCGGACUUACUGGGCGUAAAGCGUGCGCACGCGGUGCUGUAAGACAGGCGUGAAAUCCCCGGGCUCAACCUGGGAAUUGCGCUUGUGACUGCAGUGCUGGAGUGCGGCAGAGGGGGAUGGAAUUCCGCGUGUAGCAGGGAAAUGCGUAGAUAUGCGGAGGAGCACCGAUGGCGAAGGCAAUCCCCUGGGCCUGCACUGACGCUCAUGCACGAAAGCGUGGGGAGCAAACAGGAUUAGAUACCCCGGUAGUCC
RNAcentral lists this ribosomal RNA (450 nucleotides) under uncultured bacterium. RNAcentral's name for it is "partial 16S ribosomal RNA". It matches the Rfam family "Bacterial small subunit ribosomal RNA", at positions 354 to 796 of the family's 1533-position model. The record is from RNAcentral.